GUGGGGUUUCUGGGGAGGGGGUUUCUGGUCAAUAACAGGACAUUGCGUGAGCCAUGUUAAGUGGUUGACUCAAUAGCUGUCGCCUGUUUUGCAGCGGUUUUGAAGCUUGGACUAUUUGGAUUGGGGGGGUUUUGUGGGGUUGUCCUUCUCGGAUAACUAAAAAUGAAUGAGAUACUGCUCCGGCAUAUCUUCACAUGCGC
Molecule: long non-coding RNA, 200 nt
Filed under: Elaeis guineensis (African oil palm)
Lineage: Eukaryota; Viridiplantae; Streptophyta; Magnoliopsida; Arecales; Arecaceae
Description: long non-coding RNA (EGUI_LNC012291)
Source: RNAcentral